RNAcentral lists this ribosomal RNA (253 nucleotides) under uncultured bacterium. RNAcentral describes it as "partial 16S ribosomal RNA". It matches the Rfam family "Bacterial small subunit ribosomal RNA", at positions 524 to 776 of the family's 1533-position model. The record is from RNAcentral.
UACGUAGGGUGCAAGCGUUAAUCGGAAUUACUGGGCGUAAAGCGUGCGCAGGCGGCUAUGCAAGUCAGAUGUGAAAUCCCCGGGCUCAACCUGGGAACUGCAUUUGUGACUGCAUGGCUAGAGUACGGUAGAGGGGGAUGGAAUUCCGCGUGUAGCAGUGAAAUGCGUAGAUAUGCGGAGGAACACCGAUGGCGAAGGCAAUCCCCUGGACCUGUACUGACGCUCAUGCACGAAAGCGUGGGGAGCAAACAGG